CCACGUCAGUGUGCGUGAACUCCCGCGGCAGUGUGCGUGACCGCGUGGCGGCAGUGUACGUGGCCUACUGGCGGGAAUGUGCGUGACCUCCAGGCCCUUUACCUUUGCCUGUGACCUCCCGGCCCUUUACCUUUGCCUGUAACUUUCCCAGAUUGCUUGAGCCCUGUGCACAAACAUUCGUAGCAACUGUAUUUUUAAUGGCCAGAGAUGAGACACAGUCCAGUGCCCAUCCGCUGGGGAAUGGACGAAUGUAUCGUGGGACACCUGCAUGAGAAAUUCACUCAGCAAAUGAGAAAGAACAGCUGACAGCAAAACGGCACAGGUGAACCUGGAAGCAAGAUGACCCCAAAGCCUCCUGAGCAGUCAGCGAAGACGCUGGAAGGAUCCCCGAACCGUCAUUAUUUACCUCCAUUGACUGAAGCACAUUUAAAAGUUGGUUUACACUUUCCACUCCAUAUCAUUUAAUAAUGUCAUAUUGAACUGUUUCCCCAAGCAAUAAAAAAUAAAUCCUUUAAUGCUAUAGACAAAGUAUAAUAGCACUCAAUAGAAAGAAAAGAAAUUUGAAGGGCUUAGAUUUCUUACUCUCCAAUUGGAAAAGUAAGAAUUUUGGGGAAAAAACACUUUUGCCUAGAAAAGCAUAUUCCAUAGAGGACAGAUGGAAAGGAUAUUUGUGUUUAAUUUAAAUGUUCUGCAAAAGUUCACUCUUCCAGCACCACGGCAACACCCGCAGGUCUCUGACAAGUGACAAGAACACUUUAUGCUGAAUCCUCAGCAGGAUCUGAGACCUAUUAGGGAUUUUGAAUCCAUCUGGAGCUCGAGGAAUCUCUGAAAUGAGGCAAACCAGGGAAGGGCUCUGAGGAGACUUCCACACACUCCUCCAAUCACACAUGCAGCCCAAAU
RNAcentral lists this long non-coding RNA (900 nucleotides) under Homo sapiens (human). RNAcentral's name for it is "HSALNT0082730". Lineage: Eukaryota; Metazoa; Chordata; Mammalia; Primates; Hominidae. The record is from RNAcentral.